CGGCGUUAGCAGCCCUUUUAGAAUGUGUCGGCCAGGUGUUCCGGCUGCUACUGGAAAGCCCCC
Molecule: small nuclear RNA, 63 nt
Filed under: Sorex araneus (European shrew)
Lineage: Eukaryota; Metazoa; Chordata; Mammalia; Eulipotyphla; Soricidae
Description: U7 small nuclear RNA (ENSSARG00000018960.1)
Source: RNAcentral